Molecule: non-coding RNA, 47 nt
Organism: Methylosinus sp. 3S-1
Lineage: Bacteria; Pseudomonadati; Pseudomonadota; Alphaproteobacteria; Hyphomicrobiales; Methylocystaceae
Rfam family: ctRNA
About the family: This family represents a group of ctRNAs (or counter-transcribed RNAs) from p42d and related plasmids. ctRNAs are small, highly structured, antisense sequences which are involved in negative regulation. Members of this family are known to bind to the mRNA of repC causing translational repression.
Source: Rfam
AGAAGGGCUUCCGGGACGGAGACGUUUCGGGGGCCUUUUUCUUUUGC